RNAcentral lists this transfer RNA (73 nucleotides) under Rattus norvegicus (Norway rat). It matches the Rfam family "tRNA". Rfam says of the family: Transfer RNA (tRNA) molecules are approximately 80 nucleotides in length. Their secondary structure includes four short double-helical elements and three loops (D, anti-codon, and T loops). The record is from Rfam by way of RNAcentral. Lineage: Eukaryota; Metazoa; Chordata; Mammalia; Rodentia; Muridae.
GAGAUAAUGGCUCAGAGGUUAAGAGCACUGGCUGUUCUUCUAGAGAUCUUGAGUUCAAUUCCCAGUGAUCACA